Molecule: transfer RNA, 71 nt
Filed under: Plesiocystis pacifica
Lineage: Bacteria; Pseudomonadati; Myxococcota; Nannocystales; Nannocystaceae
Also listed under: 1 other name
Description: tRNA-Asp
Rfam family: tRNA
About the family: Transfer RNA (tRNA) molecules are approximately 80 nucleotides in length. Their secondary structure includes four short double-helical elements and three loops (D, anti-codon, and T loops).
Source: RNAcentral
GCCGCAUUGGUGUAAUGGUAACACACGGGAUUGUCUAUCCAGUACCGGGGGUUCGAUUCCCCCAUGUGGCG